This is a long non-coding RNA of Thunnus maccoyii (southern bluefin tuna), 1907 nucleotides long. RefSeq lists it as uncharacterized. The record is from RefSeq and is a predicted model, not a curated record. NCBI's taxonomy places the organism in Eukaryota, Metazoa, Chordata, Actinopteri, Scombriformes, Scombridae. The transcript is spliced from 3 exons.
CUCAGGAUUUCACUCUUGAUGCAUUUUGUCCAGUGUGGAUAGGGAACAGGCUAAUCCUGGAUACCUGGAAGGCACUUUUAGCAACCUGUUGCCCAAGCCCUGUAGGCUGGAUAAUCUAUUUUGAAGGUUUUGAAGGGUUGUCACAGCCACUGCUGUUUUUCCUGUGUGCUACUGUGCUGCUAUCUGUGCCUUGAUUUUGUACAUGGAUUCAUACUAGACCUGGGUGGAUGGGCCAUGGAAAUGUUGGUGCCAACUGCUGGGGUUUGCUAAUGUUUUUGCAGGUUUUUUUCAUGAGGUUUUUUGCAUGAUCUGAACUCAGCCCUCUUACUUUUUUCCCCUUUUUACUAGUGUUACUACCAGACAAACAGGGUACUGUUGGUGCCCCGCUCCUCUUCACUGAAUGUGGUGGUAUGAACACUGUCAACUUGGUCUCUAUUGUGUGGUUUUGUUGUGUUUAGGUGACGGUGCAAUUUUGUGUGUGUAGUGGUGUCCGGGCAUCCUGGUAGCACUUCGGUAACCCCCUAUAUGUCUGGCUCAUACAGAUUCUUAAGUGUUUUACAACUGACAGAUUUUAUCUUUUCCUCUAGCGUCUGUUGGCAUUAACAUUUUGUUCUUGUUUUAAGGACUGUUUGUGCUUUUAUCAUGUUAUAAUGAACAAAUUGCCCUAAACCUGAUUUUUUUUCUUAUGACUUAUGAUCAAUAAAUUGCCCAUCCAGAGUCAAAAUCCACAUAUUAUUUUGUUACCACUAUGUGUGGGGAACCCAUGUCAACCUUUAGUUUUCCUGGGGAUUCUAACCCCAGGUGGCGUUGUUCAAACUUGAGGCCCACUAGCUUCAUUACUUUGCCUCUGUUACAUAUGAUUAAUCUUUGGGUUGGAAUCAUUGUUAGAAAUAGAGUCAUGUCGGGGGUUGUGGUCAGGGUAAAGUCAGGAUUAAGAUUACAUGAUCUGUAGUUGGCUACAACAUGUGACCAAUUCACCCCCUUUUUUUUUAGCCUCCUUAGACUGUGUGGUAUGUUUUAGAAUUGUUUAUUGAUUACCUUAUCUUUUUGGCCUCACUCCUUGCCAUAUUUCUGUUCUUUUAAUCCCAUACAACCCAUGAGUAGCUAAAGUUGUGAAACACCUGCCAGAGAAAAUAAGAUUGGCUGAGUCAGAAUCAUGUAAUUCUCCUCUUACAACGUAACUUAAAUCAGAGUUUACUAGACUUAUCUUACUUGAUUAUACUUGAACUGUCUCUUUAUUUCUUUUAUCUUCCUUAACUGGAAUUGUUUGUACUGGCAUUUGAUUUACUCAUUUAAUUCUGGUCCAGUUAAUGUCUUUUGUUUGUUGAUUAAACCUGUACUUAGUAACCUGUGUUUUGAAAAAAAGAUUAUAUCAUCAUUUACCUGUACAGUUUAGCAGACUGCAAGUGGAGUGUUGCCAUUCCUCUAAUAGCUACUAGAAAACAGAUCGACUGUACCACAAGUGUGAUUGAAUAAAUUAAGUAUGCAGUUGUUACGUAGAUGAGUUAAAGUCAAGAUCCAUGACUUCAAAUCUGACAGCAAGUGUUGUUCCAAUGUUGGCCUGUUGAUGUCCCACCUUCCCCAGUUUUACUGUUUGAACAUCAGCUGUGCUGUGACUUACCUGUUAAUCAUGUUUAACUGAAUAACUAAUUGUCAAAAUGAUCAAAUUUCUCUGAAACUCAGUCAAAGUCAUAUUGUGUGAAACUUGGUGAUGGGGAAAAAAGCACCUUUUUAAAUCUGACCAGUCAAACGGCAACGUGAUUGUCAUUUUUACCACUAGUAAGACUAGAGUCUACUAGUAUGCAAGUGUCAUGGCCCCACUGUUCUUUCAAACAUCAAUAGCUCCCUGGUAGCUGGCCAUGUUCCGUCAUCUAUCAAACAUGCAGUUGUCCAGCCACUAUUAAAAA